UGCUUGGCUGGGUUUUCCUUGUUGCUCUUUUAAAAGGUGUCCAGUGUGACGUGCAGCUGAUGGAGUCUGGGGGAGACCUGGUGAAGCCUGGGGGGUCCCUGAGACUCACCUGUGUGGCCUCUGGAUUCACAUUCAGUAGCUACUACAUGAACUGGGUUCGCCAGGCUCCAGGAAAGGGGCUGCAGUGGGUCGCACGCAUUUAUGAUGAUGGAAGUAGCACAAGCUACACAGACUCCGUGAAGGGUCGAUUCACCAUCUCCAGAGACAAGGCCAAGAACACGCUGUAUCUGCAGAUGAACAGCCUGAAGACCGAGGACACGGCUACAUAUUACUGUGCAAGAGACAUGGUGAGCGGACCUCACUGGGAGCCCACACACAAACCUCCCUGCAGGAGGGGAUCAGCACCACCAGGGGGCGCACACUAUGCACAACUCUGGUUUGUGUUCCCAGGAGCAGGUGCAGAUGGAGGUUACAGGCAGGUUUCCUGUCAAGGUCUGGGGCUUCCUUUCCACAUAGCAGUUUCUCUAGG
Non-coding RNA from Herpailurus yagouaroundi (jaguarundi), 529 nucleotides. The record is from the annotation of a RefSeq genome assembly. NCBI's taxonomy places the organism in Eukaryota, Metazoa, Chordata, Mammalia, Carnivora, Felidae.